GGGCAUGCCUUUAGCGUCUUCUUUCACGCCCACACUUCCCCUUUAACGUUCUCAUGCUGUCCUCUGUCACGUCCGCCUUUUCUCUGUAUAAGCAGCGUGUCGGCAGGAAAUGCUCUCAGUCAGUCAAGCGGAGCCCUCAUCAAAGUCACACAAUAACAUUUACAGAUUUUGGAACUCGGUGCACACAUAAGGCGCACCGCAUUAUAAGGCGCUCUGUCCAUUUUGGAGAAAAUUUAAGACUUUUAAGUGCGCCUUAUGGUCGCGAAAGUACGGUAAUCAAUAAUUAGCCAAUUUGCCUGUCUAAAGAGAAACUCACUUAGAACUCUAUGUUAACAGUACUAAAUAAAUCAAUCUGUCAGGGCUGCUCCAGCAGGCUCUGGCUAGGGCUCCUCCCUCCUUUUGUGUUUCUUCCUUUUUUAGGUAUCCUGAGUGUUGUGGCAGCAGCGGCAGGUGAACAAUCAGGGGCAGUCAGCGGAAGCAGGAACAGGUGUGUCGGAGCCAGUCAGUCUUCCACCUCCUCUCCAUAUAUUCAGACGCCAGUCACCACUUGGACGCCAGAUUGUGAAUGCACAUAUUGGAACCGUCUGCCCCUCUUUGGACUUCCCUACAACUACAGUUCCAGGCAGACACCGGGAUCCUCUUCACCCACUCGCCAUCUUCAGUCUGGACCCCAUUCUGCCGUCGCUGCCUCUAUCUUCAGCUCAGCCCUCAGCCCGUUACCCCCCUAGUCAGCUGUCCGUCCCCAGCACGAGCCAGGUUGAGCUCUGGAUUUAACACCUUCGCAGCCACAGGUUGGAGACGGGGCUCGCUUUGAUCAGUGGAGCUGAGACACCAAGACACUGCAAGCAAGACAUUCUCCAGAUCUGGCACGAGGGCGCAGACUAACGAAACAGGAGGAGGCAAGCACAAGAGCCGACUUUGGAGAAUUCCCCUACACAGACCUCCAUGGAUGUAUAUUGGGCCUGUUUUAGCCUCGAGACUGGUUUAAACCCCCAGUCACUCUCCAACCU
Long non-coding RNA from Amphiprion ocellaris (clown anemonefish), 1010 nucleotides. The record is from Ensembl. Lineage: Eukaryota; Metazoa; Chordata; Actinopteri; Pomacentridae.